RNAcentral lists this ribosomal RNA (492 nucleotides) under uncultured bacterium. Its description in RNAcentral is "partial 16S ribosomal RNA". It matches the Rfam family "Bacterial small subunit ribosomal RNA", at positions 29 to 507 of the family's 1533-position model. The record is from RNAcentral.
AGUGAACGCUGGCGGUAGGCCUAACACAUGCAAGUCGAACGGCAGCACAGUAAGAGCUUGCUCUUACGGGUGGCGAGUGGCGGACGGGUGAGGAAUACAUCGGAAUCUACUUUUUCGUGGGGGAUAACGUAGGGAAACUUACGCUAAUACCGCAUACGACCUACGGGUGAAAGCAGGGGAUCUUCUGACCUUGCGCGAUUGAAUGAGCCGAUGUCGGAUUAGCUAGUUGGCGGGGUAAAGGCCCACCAAGGCGACGAUCCGUAGCUGGUGUGAGAGGAUGAUCAGCCACCGUGGAACGGAGACAGGGUCCAGACUCCUACGGGAGGCAGCAGUGGGGAAUAUUGGACAAUGGGCGCAAGCCUGAUACAGCCAUACCGCGUGGGUGAAGAAGGCCUUGGGGUUGUAAAGCCCUUUUGUUGGGAAAGAAAAGCAGCAGGUUAAUACCCCGCUGUUCUGACGGUACCCAAAGAAUAAGCACCGGCUAACUUCGUG